This 481-nucleotide ribosomal RNA is filed under the name Goodyera repens. RNAcentral's name for it is "eukaryotic LSU rRNA". The stretch from base 341 to 481 matches the Rfam family "Eukaryotic large subunit ribosomal RNA", at positions 1 to 141 of the family's 3401-position model. Lineage: Eukaryota; Viridiplantae; Streptophyta; Magnoliopsida; Asparagales; Orchidaceae. The record is from RNAcentral.
UGCAGAAUCCCGUGAACCAUCGAGUUUUUGAACGCAAGUUGCGCCCGAGGCCAAUUGGCUAAGGGCACGUCCGCCUGGGCGUCAAGCAUUAUGUCGCUUCAUUCGGCACCAAUUGCCCAAUAUUGUGUUGCGGUGCCGGUUCGAAUGCGGAGAGUGGCCCUUCGCGCACACUUGUGCGGCGGGUUGAAGAACGGUUUGCUUUCCUCUGGCCAUGUUUUGAUAAAGGGGUGGAUGUAUGCUGCCAUUUGGCCCACGCUAUCAUCACAUUGUCUCGAGGAGGAUAUUUGUACACAUUCGUGGCUGAUCACCCGACAAAUGUCGAAGGUGGUGGCUUGAAAUGCGACCCCAGGAUGGGCGGGAUGACCCGCUGAGUUUAAGCAUAUCAAUAAGCGGAGGAGAAGAAACUUACCAGGAUUCCCUUAGUAACGGCGAGCGAAGUGGGAUUUGCCCAGCAUGAAAAUCUGGCUGCAAGACAGCUUGA